UACGGGGGGAGCAAGCGUUGUUCGGAUUUACUGGGCGUAAAGGGCGCGUAGGCGGCCACCGCAAGUCGACUGUGAAAUCUCUGGGCUUAACCCAGAACGGUCAGCCGAUACUGCGGGGCUAGAGUGCAUAAGGGGCAACUGGAAUUCUCGGUGUAGCGGUGAAAUGCGUAGAUAUCGAGAGGAACACCUGCGGCGAAGGCGGGUUGCUGGGCUGACACUGACGCUGAGGCGCGAAAGCUAGGGGAGCGAACGGG
Molecule: ribosomal RNA, 254 nt
Filed under: uncultured bacterium
Lineage: Bacteria
Description: partial 16S ribosomal RNA
Rfam family: Bacterial small subunit ribosomal RNA
Source: RNAcentral